UGGCUAACUCCUACGGGAGGCAGCAGUAGGGAAUAUUGCGCAAUGGGGGAAACCCUGACGCAGCAACGCCGCGUGAGUGAGGAAGGUCUUCGGAUUGUAAAACUCUUUUAUUAGGGAAAAAUGUCCUUUCGGUUAAUACCCGAGAGGAGUGAUGGUACCUAAGGAAUAAGCACCGGCUAACUUCGUGCCAGCAGCCGCGGUAAUACGAAGGGUGCAAGCGUUGUUCGGAAUCAUUGGGCGUAAAGCGCGCGCAGGCGGAUUGAUAAGUCAGGUGUAAAAUCUCGAAGCUCAACUUCGAAACUGCGCCUGGAACUAUUAGUCUAGAAUGUCGGAGGGGGCAGGGGAAUUUCACGUGUAGGGGUAAAAUCCGUAGAGAUGUGAAGGAACACCGGAGGCGAAGGCGCCUGCCUGGACGACUAUUGACGCUGAGGCGCGAAAGCGUGGGGAGCAAACAGGAUUAGAAACCCCAGUAGUCCAGCUGG
This 482-nucleotide ribosomal RNA is filed under the name uncultured bacterium. RNAcentral's name for it is "bacterial SSU rRNA". It matches the Rfam family "Bacterial small subunit ribosomal RNA", at positions 329 to 803 of the family's 1533-position model. The record is from RNAcentral.